UUGAGGUUCUAUAUUUUAGAAUAAUUGGGAAGUGAGGUUUAAUCCCUCCGCGGUCCCGCCACUGUGAUGCUGACGAAAGAUAUAACCACUGGAUUAUUUUUAAUCUGGGAAGGGUAUCUAGUAGGAUGAAGCUAAGCCAGGAGACCUGCCUCAGAUGUA
RNAcentral lists this non-coding RNA (159 nucleotides) under Fusobacterium ulcerans. Lineage: Bacteria; Fusobacteriati; Fusobacteriota; Fusobacteriia; Fusobacteriales; Fusobacteriaceae. The record is from RNAcentral.